GACGAACGCUGGCGGCGUGCUUAACACAUGCAAGUCGAACGGAAAGGCCCUGCUUUUGUGGGGUGCUCGAGUGGCGAACGGGUGAGUAACACGUGAGUAACCUGCCCUUGACUUUGGGAUAACUUCAGGAAACUGGGGCUAAUACCGGAUAGGAGCUCCUGCUGCAUGGUGGGGGUUGGAAAGUUUCGGCGGUUGGGGAUGGACCCGCGGCUUAUCAGCUUGUUGGUGGGGUAGUGGCUUACCAAGGCUUUGACGGGUAGCCGGCCUGAGAGGGUGACCGGCCACAUUGGGACUGAGAUACGGCCCAGACUCCUACGGGAGGCAGCAGUGGGGAAUAUUGCACAAUGGGCGGAAGCCUGAUGCAGCAACGCCGCGUGCGGGAUGACGGCCUUCGGGUUGUAAACCGCUUUCGCCUGUGACGAAGUGUGAGUGACGGUAAUGGGUAAAGAAGCACCAGCUAACUACGUG
RNAcentral lists this ribosomal RNA (468 nucleotides) under uncultured bacterium. Its description in RNAcentral is "partial 16S ribosomal RNA". It matches the Rfam family "Bacterial small subunit ribosomal RNA", at positions 28 to 507 of the family's 1533-position model. The record is from RNAcentral.